Molecule: long non-coding RNA, 483 nt
Filed under: Numida meleagris (helmeted guineafowl)
Lineage: Eukaryota; Metazoa; Chordata; Aves; Galliformes; Numididae
Description: lncRNA (ENSNMEG00000020463.1)
Source: RNAcentral
UGAAUUCAGCAUAUACUGACCAAAAUUUACAGUAUGUUUCCUUUCCGAUUAACACUAAUUGUAUGCAUUUUCUGAUUCUAAUUCUUAAGUGAUCUAAAGCUGUUGACUGCCUAGAAGACUUAGACUAUGUUAUUUUAAAAUAACAUAGCUAAUGUAAGACCCUAAACUCCAGGAGUUUCAUUUACAAGCAACCUAGAAAACACAAGUGGCUAAUUUAUAAAGAAGCACAGAACAAAGCUGAACAAUAUCCUUCCACAGCCCAGACUCCAAGGCAGCAUGUUGCAAUAGUGUCACAAUGAAGUGGGCACAAUGAGGAGGGCUUACAGAGGUCGAGUUUUAUUUCUAGCCCUGCCACUACUUACGAAUUCCAGUUGUUGCAGAGUACACAGGAUGGGCAGGGUGAAGGAACGACUAAUUUUUGAGCAGGAGGCAUCUAUUCAUAAACACAGAGCACAGUUCUGUUCCAGAAGCCUUUGAAAUGUG